RNAcentral lists this ribosomal RNA (370 nucleotides) under uncultured organism. RNAcentral describes it as "bacterial SSU rRNA". It matches the Rfam family "Bacterial small subunit ribosomal RNA", at positions 526 to 895 of the family's 1533-position model. The record is from RNAcentral.
CGUAGGAGGCAAGCGUUAUCCGGAUUCACUGGGCGUAAAGCGCGUGCAGGUGGCGCGGUAAGUUAGGCGUGAAAUCUCCCGGCUCAACUGGGAGAGGUCGUCUAAUACUACCGUGCUUGAGAGCAGAAGAGGAAGAUGGAAUUCCCGGUGUAGUGGUGAAAUGCGUAGAUAUCGGGAGAACACCAGUGGCGAAGGCGAUCUUCUGGUCUGUUUCUGACACUCAGACGCGACAGCUAGGGUAGUAAACGGGAUUAGAGACCCCGGUAAUCCUAGCCGUAAACGAUGUGAACUUGGCGUUGGUGGGUUAAACUCCAUCAGUGCCGUAGCAAACGCGAUAAGUUCACCGCCUGGGGACUACGGCCGCAAGGUU